AUUGAACGCUGGCGGCAUGCCUUACACAUGCAAGUCGAACGGUAACAGGUCUUCGGAUGCUGACGAGUGGCGAACGGGUGAGUAAUACAUCGGAACGUGCCUAGUAGUGGGGGAUAACUACUCGAAAGAGUGGCUAAUACCGCAUGAGAUCUACGGAUGAAAGCAGGGGAUCGCAAGACCUUGUGCUACUAGAGCGGCCGAUGGCAGAUUAGGUAGUUGGUGGGAUAAAAGCUUACCAAGCCGACGAUAUGUAGCUGGUCUGAAAGGACGAUCAGCCACGCUGGGACUGAGACACGGCCCAGACUCCUACGGGAGGCAGCAGUGGGGAAUUUUGGACAAUGGGCGCAAGCCUGAUCCAGCAAUGCCGCGUGCAGGAUGAAGGCCUUCGGGUUGUAAACUGCUUUUGUACGGAACGAAAAGCCCCGGGUUAAUACCCUGGGGUCAUGACGGUAUCGUAAGAAUAAGCACCGGCUAACUACGUGCCAGCAGCCGCCGUAA
This 498-nucleotide ribosomal RNA is filed under the name uncultured bacterium. RNAcentral describes it as "partial 16S ribosomal RNA". It matches the Rfam family "Bacterial small subunit ribosomal RNA", at positions 30 to 523 of the family's 1533-position model. The record is from RNAcentral.